CCUACGUGGGCUGCAGUGGGGAAUAUUGGACAAUGGGCGAAAGCCUGAUCCAGCCAUGCCGCGUGUGUGAAGAAGGCCUUCGGGUUGUAAAGCACUUUCAGUGGGGAAGAAAGCCUUGGGGCUAAUACCCUCGAGGAAGGACAUCACCCACAGAAGAAGCACCGGCUAACUCCGUGCCAGCAGCCGCGGUAAUACGGAGGGUGCGAGCGUUAAUCGGAAUUACUGGGCGUAAAGCGCGCGUAGGCGGUCUGAUAAGCCGGUUGUGAAAGCCCCGGGCUCAACCUGGGAACGGCAUCCGGAACUGUCAGGCUAGAGUGCAGGAGAGGAAGGUAGAAUUCCCGGUGUAGCGGUGAAAUGCGUAGAGAUAGGGAGGAAUACCAGUGGCGAAGGCGGCCUUCUGGACUGACACUGACGCUGAGGUGCGAAAGCGUGGGUAGCAAACAGGAUUAGAUACCCCGGUAGUC
RNAcentral lists this ribosomal RNA (464 nucleotides) under Vreelandella stevensii. RNAcentral describes it as "partial 16S ribosomal RNA". It matches the Rfam family "Bacterial small subunit ribosomal RNA", at positions 338 to 795 of the family's 1533-position model. The record is from RNAcentral. Lineage: Bacteria; Pseudomonadati; Pseudomonadota; Gammaproteobacteria; Oceanospirillales; Halomonadaceae.